UUUUAAUGGUAGGUGUAUUUUAACAGUGAGAGACAGAAAAAAAAAAAAUCCAGAAAAACGCAUGUGGAAAAAAGUUAUAAAUUGAUUUGAUGUCAAAUGCGACCCGGCAUGUACGCCAUUGGGCCAGCCUCUUCCCCUUGGGGGGCCCAGGAGCCGACCACCCCAGGGCCCCCUGAGGCUGGCCCCGGGUGGCCGGCCGGCUGGCCGGCCGGUCGGGCAGGAAGGCAGGCGCGCGAGGGAGCACUCACUGCUUCCUCUUCAGCUCCCUCGCCCGCCGCACUGAUACCGGAGCCGGAAGAUGACGUCAUCUUCCUGCGCCGGCAUCCCUAAGCGGCGCGCGAGGGAGCUGAAGAGGAAGCAGUGAGUGCUCCCUCGCGCGCCCGCCUUCCUGCCCGACCGGCCACCCGCCCAGGAGCCCAGCAGCA
Molecule: non-coding RNA, 425 nt
Organism: Pelobates cultripes (western spadefoot toad)
Lineage: Eukaryota; Metazoa; Chordata; Amphibia; Anura; Pelobatidae
Source: the annotation of a GenBank genome assembly